AACAUUGGACAAUAGGUGAGAGCCUGAUCCAGCCAUCCCGCGUGUAGGAAGAAGGCCUUAUGGGUUGUAAACUGCUUUUAUACGGGGAUAAACCACUUUACGGGUAAGGUGUCGAUGGUCCGGUAUGAACAAGCAUCGGCUAACUCCGUGCCCGCAGCCGCGGUAAUACGGAGGAUGCAAGCGUUAUCCGGAUUUAUUGGGUUUAAAGGGUCCGUAGGCGGUCAUAUAAGUCAGAGGUGAAAUCCGACAGCUUAACUGUCGAACUGCCUUUGAAACUGUAUGUCUUGAGUGAGAUAGAAGCAGCUGGAAUGUGUAGUGUAGCAGUGAAAUGCAUAGAUAUUACGCGGAACACCGAUAGCGUAGGCAGGUUGCUAAGUCAUUACUGACGCUGAUGGACGAAAGCGUGGGGAGCAAACA
RNAcentral lists this ribosomal RNA (417 nucleotides) under uncultured bacterium. RNAcentral describes it as "partial 16S ribosomal RNA". It matches the Rfam family "Bacterial small subunit ribosomal RNA", at positions 360 to 774 of the family's 1533-position model. The record is from RNAcentral.